RNAcentral lists this ribosomal RNA (171 nucleotides) under uncultured bacterium. RNAcentral describes it as "partial 16S ribosomal RNA". It matches the Rfam family "Bacterial small subunit ribosomal RNA", at positions 1325 to 1500 of the family's 1533-position model. The record is from RNAcentral.
GCUGGAUUCGCUAGUAAUCGCGCAUCAGCCAUGGCGCGGUGAAUACGUUCCCGGGCCCUUGUACACACCGCCCGUCCAAGCCAUGGAAGCCGGGGGGUGCCUGAAGUGCGUUGCCGCAAGGCGCGCCCUAGAGCGAAACCGGUGACUGGGGCUAAGUCGUAACAAGGUAGC